RNAcentral lists this ribosomal RNA (264 nucleotides) under uncultured archaeon. Its description in RNAcentral is "partial 16S ribosomal RNA". It matches the Rfam family "Archaeal small subunit ribosomal RNA", at positions 748 to 1009 of the family's 1478-position model. The record is from RNAcentral.
CAGCCCUAAACGAUGCGCGUUAGGUGUAUCGGUGACCACGAGUCACCGAGGUGCCGAAGGGAAACCGUGAAACGUGCCGCCUGGGAAGUACGGUCGCAAGGCUGAAACUUAAAGGAAUUGGCGGGGGAGGCACCACGACGGGUGGAGCCUGCGGUUUAAUUUGGACUCAACGCCGGGAAGGCUCACCGGAUAAGACAGCGGAAUGAUUGCCGGGCUGAAGACCCUGCAUGACCAGCUGAGAGGAGGUGCAUGGCGUAGUCGUGU